Molecule: ribosomal RNA, 939 nt
Filed under: uncultured Bacillota bacterium
Lineage: Bacteria; Bacillati; Bacillota
Description: bacterial SSU rRNA
Rfam family: Bacterial small subunit ribosomal RNA
Source: RNAcentral
UGGAUCCAGACUUUGAUUCUGGCUCAGGACGAACGCUGGCGGCGUGCUUAACACAUGCAAGUCGAACGGAGAACUUAUUUCGGUAAGUUCUUAGUGGCGAACGGGUGAGUAACGCGUGGGCAACCUGCCCUCCAGUUGGGGACAACAUUCCGAAAGGGAUGCUAAUACCGAAUGUGCUCCCUCCUCCGCAUGGAGGAGGGAGGAAAGAUGGCCUCUGCUUGCAAGCUAUCGCUGGAAGAUGGGCCCGCGUCUGAUUAGCUAGUUGGUGGGGUAACGGCUCACCAAGGCGAUGAUCAGUAGCCGGUCUGAGAGGAUGAACGGCCACAUUGGGACUGAGACACGGCCCAAACUCCUACGGGAGGCAGCAGUGGGGAAUCUUCCGCAAUGGACGAAAGUCUGACGGAGCAACGCCGCGUGAGUGAUGAAGGUCUUCGGAUUGUAAAACUCUGUUGCUAGGGACGAAAGCACCGUGUUCGAACAGGUCAUGGUGUUGACGGUACCUAACGAGGAAGCCACGGCUAACUACGUGCCAGCAGCCGCGGUAAUACGUAGGUGGCAAGCGUUGUCCGGAAUUAUUGGGCGUAAAGAGCAUGUAGGCGGGCUUUUAAGUCUGACGUGAAAAUGCGGGGCUUAACCCCGUAUGGCGUUGGAUACUGGAAGUCUUGAGUGCAGGAGAGGAAAGGGGAAUUCCCAGUGUAGCGGUGAAAUGCGUAGAUAUUGGGAGGAACACCAGUGGCGAAGGCGCCUUUCUGGACUGUGUCUGACGCUGAGAUGCGAAAGCCAGGGUAGCAAACGGGAUUAGAUACCCCGGUAGUCCUGGCCGUAAACGAUGGAUACUAGGUGUAGGAGGUAUCGACCCCUUCUGUGCCGGAGUUAACGCAAUAAGUAUCCCGCCUGGGGACUACGAUCGCAAGAUUGCAACUCAAAUGAAUUGACGGA